This 1387-nucleotide long non-coding RNA is filed under the name Homo sapiens (human). RNAcentral's name for it is "HSALNT0366449". The record is from RNAcentral. Lineage: Eukaryota; Metazoa; Chordata; Mammalia; Primates; Hominidae.
GAUAAAUGCAAACAUACUAAUUAUAUUAAUUUUUUAUUUUUAUUUAUUUAUUUUUUUGAGAUGGAGUCUCACUCUUGUCGCCCAGGCUGGAGCGCAGUGGCGCGAUCUCAGCUUGCUACAACCUCUGCCUCCCAGGUUCAAGCUAUUCUCCUGCCUCAGCCUCCCGAGUAGCUGGGAUUACAGGCAUAUGCACCAAGCCCAGCUGAUUUUUGUAUUUUUAGUAGAGACAGGGUUUCACCAUGUUGGCCAGGACAGUCUCGAACUCCUGACCUCAGGCAAUCCUCCCGCCUUGGCCUCCCAAAGUGCUGGGAUUACAGGUGUGAGCCACCGCGCCCGGCUUUGUUUUUGUUUUUGUAGAGAUGGGGUUUCACCAUGUUGCUCAGGCUAGUCUCGAACUCCUGGGCUCAGGCAAUCCUCCCUCCUCAGCUUCCCAAAGUGUUUAGGAUUCCAGGUGCGAGUUGCCACGCCCUGCAGGAAAUUUUCUAUUUAAAGGACUUCUAUGGUGAAUCAUUCCAUACAGCAUAUUAGUAUCAUUUCUGUCAAUCUAGGUUUUGAGUCCUGGCUCUCUCUGUGCUACUAUCAGAUAGCUGUAUGAUGUUGAACAAAUCACUUCUCCGUUUCUUCAGAAGAAAAUGGAAAGGGGGGUUUUGAUGAUAUCUGGAAUGACUGAUAAGGGGCAUCUGAAUCAUCUCCAACCCUGACAUUCGGCUUUAGUAUGUCUGAAAGCAGACCUACUGCCACAUUUGGGAAUUUCCAGAGCAGAUGAUCUCUAAGGUCUCUUUUUAAGUCUGAAAUUGUCAUUUAUGACAUAUUUGGGCUUGCUGAAAUUAAGAUUCAUCUGUAUUGGGAAUCGGCUUCUGUUCUUCCCUGCCAUAUUCCUUGUGAAUUGUGAAUUCCCCCACCUCAAAUACAUAACAUCUUUAUCUGAAGUCACCAGUGGUGCUCUAGGAACACAGCUUUGUUUACUUUCACCAAAGCAUUUCCCAUCUGAUAUGGUUUGGCCGUGUCUCCACCCAAAUCUCACCUUGAAUUGUAGCUCCCGUAAUUCCCACGUAUUGUGGGAGGGACCCGGUGGGAGGUAAUUGAAUCAUAGGGGUGGUUUCCCCCAUACUAUUCUCGUGGUAGUGAAUAAAUCUCACAAGAUCUGAUGGCUCUAUAAGGGGAAACCCCUUUUGCUUUGUUUUCAUUCUGUCUCUUGCCUGCUGCCAUGUAAGACGUGCCUUUUGCCUUCCAACAUGAUUGUGAGGCCUCCCCAGCCAUGUGUAACUGUGAGUCCAUUAAACCUCUUUUUCUUUAUAAUUUACUCAGUCUCGGGUAUGUCUUUAUCAACAGUGUGAAAAUGGACUAAUACACCACCUCAGUGUCAUCUUGGCUUUUCCCAAGGUAU